UACGAAGGGGGCUAGCGUUGCUCGGAAUCACUGGGCGUAAAGGGUGCGUAGGCGGGUCUUUAAGUCAGGGGUGAAAUCCUGGAGCUCAACUCCAGAACUGCCUUUGAUACUGAGGAUCUUGAGUUCGGGAGAGGUGAGUGGAACUGCGGGUGUAGAGGUGAAAUUCGUAGAUAUUCGCAAGAACACCAGUGGCGAAGGCGGCUCACUGGCCCGAUACUGACGCUGAGGCACGAAAGCGUGGGGAGCAAACAGG
RNAcentral lists this ribosomal RNA (253 nucleotides) under uncultured bacterium. Its description in RNAcentral is "partial 16S ribosomal RNA". It matches the Rfam family "Bacterial small subunit ribosomal RNA", at positions 524 to 776 of the family's 1533-position model. The record is from RNAcentral.